UGGCGCCAGCAGCCGUAGUAAUUCCAGCUCCAAUAGCGUAUAUUAAAAUUGCUGCAGAUAAAAAGCUAGUAGUUGAUUUUCUGCCGCCCCGCCGCCGCCCCCCCAGACGUCGGGGUUUAUUUGGACGACCUCGCGUCUCCGAAUGUUUACUUUGAGAAAAUUAGAGUGCUCAAAGCAGGCCCUUGCCUUGAAUACUUUAGCAUGGAAUAAUAAAGUAGGACUUUGGUUCUAUUUUGUUGGUUUAGCGCCAAAGUAAUGGUUAAUAGGAACAGUUGGGGGCAUUCGUAUUUAACUGUCAGAGGUGAAAUUCUUAGAUUUGUUAAAGACGAACCACUGCGAAAGCAUUUGCCAAGGAUGUUUUCAUUAAUCAAGAACGAAAGUUAGGGGAUCGAAGACGAUCAGAUACCGUCGUAGUCCUAACCAUAAACCAGGCCGACUAGAGAUUGGAGGUCGUCAGUUUCUUACGAUUUCUU
This 473-nucleotide ribosomal RNA is filed under the name Theileria mutans. RNAcentral's name for it is "SSU rRNA". It matches the Rfam family "Eukaryotic small subunit ribosomal RNA", at positions 562 to 1080 of the family's 1831-position model. The record is from RNAcentral. Lineage: Eukaryota; Apicomplexa; Aconoidasida; Piroplasmida; Theileriidae.